AUUGAACGCUGGCGGCAGGCCUAACACAUGCAAGUCGAGCGGAUGAAGGGAGCUUGCUCCUGGAUUCAGCGGCGGACGGGUGAGUAAUGCCUAGGAAUCUGCCUGGUAGUGGGGGAUAACGUCCGGAAACGGGCGCUAAUACCGCAUACGUCCUGAGGGAGAAAGUGGGGGAUCUUCGGACCUCACGCUAUCAGAUGAGCCUAGGUCGGAUUAGCUAGUUGGUGGGGUAAAGGCCUACGAAGGCGACGAUCCGUAACUGGUCUGAGAGGAUGAUCAGUCACACUGCAACUGGGACACGGUCCAGACUCCUAGGGAAGGCAGAGGUGGGGAAUAUUGGACAAUGGGCGAAAGCCUGUUCCACCAAUGCGGGGUGUGUGAAGAAGGUCUUCGGAUUGUAAAGCACUUUAAGUUGGGAGGAAGGGCAGUAGUUAAUACCUUGCUGUUUUGACGUUACCAACAGAAUAAGCACCGGCUAACUUCGUG
Molecule: ribosomal RNA, 483 nt
Filed under: uncultured bacterium
Lineage: Bacteria
Description: partial 16S ribosomal RNA
Rfam family: Bacterial small subunit ribosomal RNA
Source: RNAcentral